Molecule: transfer RNA, 73 nt
Filed under: Rickettsiales bacterium
Lineage: Bacteria; Pseudomonadati; Pseudomonadota; Alphaproteobacteria; Rickettsiales
Description: tRNA-Met
Rfam family: tRNA
About the family: Transfer RNA (tRNA) molecules are approximately 80 nucleotides in length. Their secondary structure includes four short double-helical elements and three loops (D, anti-codon, and T loops).
Source: RNAcentral
AGCGACGUGGCGCAGCGGUUAGCGUGUCUGGCUCAUAACCAGAAGGUCGGUGGUUCGAUCCCACUCGUCGCUA